GGGGAAUUUUGGACAAUGGGCGCAAGCCUGAUCCAGCCAUUCCGCGUGCGGGAAGAAGGCCUUCGGGUUGUAAACCGCUUUCGGCAGGGAAGAAACGGCGAGGGCUAAUACCUCUUGCUAAUGACGGUACCUGAAGAAGAAGCACCGGCUAACUACGUGCCAGCAGCCGCGGUAAUACGUAGGGUGCGAGCGUUAAUCGGAAUUACUGGGCGUAAAGCGUGCGCAGGCGGUUUUGUAAGACAGAUGUGAAAUCCCCGGGCUUAACCUGGGAACUGCGUUUGUGACUGCAAGACUCGAGUGCGGCAGAGGGGGGUGGAAUUCCACGUGUAGCAGUGAAAUGCGUAGAGAUGUGGAGGAACACCGAUGGCGAAGGCAGCCCCCUGGGUCGACACUGACGCUCAUGCACGAAAGCGUGGGGAGCAAAC
This 425-nucleotide ribosomal RNA is filed under the name uncultured bacterium. Its description in RNAcentral is "bacterial SSU rRNA". It matches the Rfam family "Bacterial small subunit ribosomal RNA", at positions 356 to 773 of the family's 1533-position model. The record is from RNAcentral.